UUCUCUGAAUGGCUUACAAAGAGCAUGGAGCCAAAAAGACGACAGUUCUGUCCCCAAAUUGUGGGAUUAAAUGGCAUGGAAGAGAAAAACGGAAAAGACUUCCACGAACUGAACCAGUGUUCUCAAGGGCCUGCAGCGUCGAGGUGAUUGGAAGGCCCCUUCUUACCGUGUCGGGGUGCCAAGUGACGCCUUGUAAGUAAUAAAUCUCUGAUUUUGAUUUUAAAGUCCUACCGGGCAGGAUAAUUCUUUUUGUAUGGUUCCUAGAGCGGC
This 270-nucleotide long non-coding RNA is filed under the name Homo sapiens (human). RNAcentral describes it as "HSALNT0082334". Lineage: Eukaryota; Metazoa; Chordata; Mammalia; Primates; Hominidae. The record is from RNAcentral.